This 1472-nucleotide ribosomal RNA is filed under the name uncultured bacterium. Its description in RNAcentral is "bacterial SSU rRNA". It matches the Rfam family "Bacterial small subunit ribosomal RNA". The record is from RNAcentral.
CGCCCUUAGGGUUUGAUCAUGGCUCAGAACGAACGCUGGCGGCAAGCUUUACACAUGCAAGUCGAACGUGGCGUCGCGGCUUGCCGUGACGCCAAGUGGCAAACGGGUGAGUAAUGCAUAGGAAUCUACCUAAUAGUGGGGGAUAACUAUCGGAAACGAUGGCUAAUACCGCAUAAUCCCGCAAGGGCAAAGAUUUAUCGCUAAUAGAUGAGCCUAUGUUAGAUUAGCUAGUCGGUGGGGUAACGGCCUACCGAGGCUUAGAUCUAUAGCUGGUCUGAGAGGAUGAUCAGCCACACUGGAACUGAGAUACGGUCCAGACUCCUACGGGAGGCAGCAGUGGGGAAUAUUGGACAAUGGGCUAAAGCCUGAUCCAGCUAUGCCGCGUGAGCGAUGAAGGCCUUAGGGUUGUAAAGCUCUUUCAGCAAGGAAGAUAAUGACUGUACUUGCAGAAGAAGUCCCGGCUAACUCCGUGCCAGCAGCCGCGGUAAUACGGAGGGGGCUAGCGUUGUUCGGAAUUACUGGGCGUAAAGGGCGCGUAGGCGGCAUGCUAAGUCGGUAGUGAAAUCCCAGGGCUUAACCCUGGAACUACUGCUGAAACUGGUGUGCUGGAGUGCGAGAGGGGAUAGUGGAAUUCCUAGUGUAGAGGUGAAAUUCGUAAAUAUUAGGAGGAACACCGGAGGCGAAGGCGGCUAUCUGGAUCGUUACUGACGCUGAGGCGCGAAAGCGUGGGGAGCAAACCGGAUUAGAUACCCUGGUAGUCCACGCCCUAAACGAUGAGUGCUAGAUAUCGGGGAAACUCUGUGUCGUAGCUAACGCAUUAAGCACUCCGCCUGGGUAGUACGGUCGCAAGAUUGAAACUCAAAGGAAUUGACGGGGACUCGCACAAGCGGUGGAGCAUGUGGUUUAAUUCGAUGCAACGCGAAAAACCUUACCACUCCUUAACAUGGGAAUUUUGGAUUUCGUAACGGAAAUUCUUCAUUUCGGGUGGGUUCCGCAUAGGUGCUGCAUGGCUGUCGUCAGCUCGUGUCGUGAGAUGUUGGGUUAAGUCCCGCAACGAGCGCAACCCUCGCCCUUAGUUACCAGCGAGUAAAGUCGGGAACUCUAGGGGAACUGCCAAUGAUAAAGUGGAGGAAGGUGGGGAUAACGUCAAGUCAUCAUGGCCCUUAUGGGGUGGGCUACACACGUGCUACAAUGGCGAUCACAAAGAGUUGCGAUGUCGCAAGGCGGAGCUAAUCUUCAAAAGUCGUCUCAGUUCGGAUUGUCCUCUGAAACUCGAGGGCAUGAAGUUGGAAUCGCUAGUAGUCGUGGAUCAGCGUGCCACGGUGAAUACGUUCUCGGGUCUUGUACACACCGCCCGUCACGCCAUGGGAGCUGGUUUCACUCGAAGGAGGUGCACCAACCGUAAGGAGGAAGCUUUCUAAAGUGGGAUUAGUGACUGGGGUGAAGUCGUAACAAGGUAGCCGUAAAGGGCG